AACGAACGCUGGCGGCAUGCCUAACACAUGCAAGUCGAACGAUCCCUUCGGGGAUAGUGGCGCACGGGUGCGUAACGCGUGGGAACCUGCCCUUAGGUUCGGAAUGACUCAGAGAAAUUUGAGCUAAUACCGGAUAAUGUCUUCGGACCAAAGAUUUAUCGCCUUUGGAUGGGCCCGCGUUGGAUUAGCUAGUUGGUGGGGUAAAGGCCUACCAAGGCGACGAUCCAUAGCUGGUCUGAGAGGAUGAUCAGCCACACUGGGACUGAGACACGGCCCAGACUCCUACGGGAGGCAGCAGUGGGGAAUAUUGGACAAUGGGCGAAAGCCUGAUCCAGCAAUGCCGCGUGAGUGAUGAAGGCCUUAGGGUUGUAAAGCUCUUUUACCCGGGAUGAUAAUGACAGUACCGGGAGAAUAAGCCCCGGCUAACUCCGUG
This 433-nucleotide ribosomal RNA is filed under the name uncultured bacterium. Its description in RNAcentral is "partial 16S ribosomal RNA". It matches the Rfam family "Bacterial small subunit ribosomal RNA", at positions 29 to 507 of the family's 1533-position model. The record is from RNAcentral.